This 106-nucleotide small nuclear RNA is filed under the name Chelonoidis abingdonii (Abingdon island giant tortoise). RNAcentral's name for it is "U4 spliceosomal RNA (ENSCABG00000017523.1)". It matches the Rfam family "U4 spliceosomal RNA". From Rfam's summary of the family: U4 small nuclear RNA (U4 snRNA) is a component of the major U2-dependent spliceosome. The structure of U4 snRNA from yeast and human has been reported. The record is from Rfam by way of RNAcentral. Lineage: Eukaryota; Metazoa; Chordata; Testudines; Testudinidae.
UUACUUGCGCAGUGGCAAUAUCAUAACCAAUGAAGUUAAUCUGAGGUGUGAUUAUUGCUAGUUGAAAACUUUUCAACGCACAUAUUCCUGAAAAGUCACAGCAGAU